RNAcentral lists this ribosomal RNA (253 nucleotides) under uncultured bacterium. RNAcentral's name for it is "partial 16S ribosomal RNA". It matches the Rfam family "Bacterial small subunit ribosomal RNA", at positions 524 to 776 of the family's 1533-position model. The record is from RNAcentral.
GACGAACUGUGCGAACGUUAUUCGGAAUCACUGGGCUUACAGGGUGCGUAGGCGGCCUGUUAAGUAGGGUGUGAAAUCCCCCGGCCCAACCGGGGAAUGGCGCUCUAAACUAGCAGGCUUGAGUGAGCUAGGGGUGCAUGGAACUUCCAGUGGAGCGGUGAAAUGUGUUGAUAUUGGAAGGAACACCGGAGGCGAAAGCGAUGCACUGGGGCUUAACUGACGCUGAGGCACGAAAGCCAGGGUAGCGAACGGG